AUAUCUGAUCUUUGUCUAAGGUCAAGUUUAACAUCUGUUCUUAUCAGUUAAAUAUCUUUUUCAUUCUUGACCUGAAGAUGUCAUAUUAAACAGAUUUUUGGGACCAAGAGAUGGGUUAGAACAUUUUCUGUGCAUAUUCUAUGCAUGUCUGUUAUUGCAGUGUCUAGAGAAGCAGCACAGCCACA
This 185-nucleotide small nuclear RNA is filed under the name Mesitornis unicolor (brown roatelo). RNAcentral describes it as "U2 spliceosomal RNA". It matches the Rfam family "U2 spliceosomal RNA". Rfam says of the family: U2 is a small nuclear RNA (snRNA) component of the spliceosome (involved in pre-mRNA splicing). Complementary binding between U2 snRNA (in an area lying towards the 5' end but 3' to hairpin I) and the branchpoint sequence (BPS) of the intron results the bulging out of an unpaired adenosine, on the BPS, which initiates a nucleophilic attack at the intronic 5' splice site, thus starting the first of two transesterification reactions that mediate splicing. Lineage: Eukaryota; Metazoa; Chordata; Aves; Mesitornithiformes; Mesitornithidae. The record is from Rfam by way of RNAcentral.